AAACAAAACUUUACUUUUUUCUGCAUAACUUUACUUCUUCUUCAUGGUUCAGGCUUCGCCGAAAAUCGUUUGCUUCCACCGUCGUGAUCGUAUUCAUCGUCGUCUUCUUCAAUCGUCGGAGUCCUCUUCUACUUCGUUAUCUCUAGUUCUAGGGCAAAUAGUUUUGGUAGAAGAUGAAAACUGAAACUUCUUUUUCUAUUUUUUUUACGGUACUUUUUUUUUAAUACAAAAAUAUUAACAUAAAAUGGUUUUGUUUUUAAAAAAUAAAGAUUCUAUUUUUCUUUAAUGAAAAAAGAUUUGAAAAUAAAUCUUUAAAAUUUUUAUUUUAAAAAUAAAUUUUAUUUGGG
Molecule: long non-coding RNA, 347 nt
Filed under: Trifolium pratense (red clover)
Lineage: Eukaryota; Viridiplantae; Streptophyta; Magnoliopsida; Fabales; Fabaceae
Description: long non-coding RNA (TPRA_LNC005738)
Source: RNAcentral